This 366-nucleotide unclassified non-coding RNA is filed under the name uncultured Dothideomycetes. RNAcentral describes it as "sequence contains ITS2". The stretch from base 1 to 154 matches the Rfam family "5.8S ribosomal RNA". Lineage: Eukaryota; Fungi; Ascomycota; Dothideomycetes. The record is from RNAcentral.
UACUUUCAGCAAUGGAUCUCUUGGCUCUGGCAUCGAUGAAGAACGCAGCGAAAUGCGAUAUGUAAUGUGAAUUGCAGAAUUUAGUGAAUCAUCGAAUCUUUGAACGCACAUUGCGCCCCUUGGUAUUCCGAGGGGCACACCUGUUCGAGCGUCAUUUCACAAAUCAAGCAAUGCUUGGUAUUGGGCGCCGCCCUAUCGGGCGUGCCUUAAAACCCUCGGCGUCGCCGUCCGUCUCCUAGCGCAGCGAGAGUAAAAUCCAGCGCCAUCGGGACGGGCCGCGCCCGCCGCAUAAUACUAUUUUUAUAAGUUGACCUCGGAUCAGGUGGGGAUACCCGCUGAACUUAAGCAUAUCAAUAAGCGGAGGCU